This 165-nucleotide unclassified non-coding RNA is filed under the name uncultured Capnodiales. RNAcentral's name for it is "sequence contains ITS2". Lineage: Eukaryota; Fungi; Ascomycota; Dothideomycetes; Capnodiales. The record is from RNAcentral.
AAUCCAAUCAAGCCUGGCUUGGUAUUGGGCGCCGGGGGUUCCCCGCGCCUUAAUUUCACCGGCUGGCCAUCGCCCGUCUUAGCGUUGUGACACACUUCUCGCUACCGAUGGGGACCGGACCACGCCGUCAAAACCCCACAAAUUUCAAUCGAAAUUUGAUUAAUG